UACGUAGGGUGCGAGCGUUGUCCGGAAUUAUUGGGCGUAAAGAGCUCGUAGGCGGCUUGUCGCGUCGGAUGUGAAAGCCCGGGGCUUAACUCCGGGUCUGCAUUCGAUACGGGCAGGCUAGAGUUCGGUAGGGGAGAUCGGAAUUCCUGGUGUAGCGGUGAAAUGCGCAGAUAUCAGGAGGAACACCGGUGGCGAAGGCAGCUCGCUGGGACGGUACUGACGCUGAGACGCGAAAGCGUGGGGAGCGAACAGG
This 253-nucleotide ribosomal RNA is filed under the name uncultured bacterium. RNAcentral's name for it is "partial 16S ribosomal RNA". It matches the Rfam family "Bacterial small subunit ribosomal RNA", at positions 524 to 776 of the family's 1533-position model. The record is from RNAcentral.